UUGAUAUGCCAUGGGUGUGGCCAAAAAAACCCCCAAACCAUUAAACAUAGGUCUCACAGGAAAAAAAAAAAAAACAAAACCCACUGUAGUCCUCAAUCACAUCAUCUACAUUAAAAGUUAAUAUUAUUCCAUUAAAGAGAGAUCCUUCUGUUACGUUUUCUCAGUCUGUACAUUCUGGGGUGUGGAAGGAAAUGAGAAAUUGUCCAACUAGUUAAAAUUUACAAAGUAGGACUAAAUACUUUGUUUUUAUCUUUUUAGGGCCAUACCUGUGGCAUAUGGAAGUUUUCAGGCGGGGGGUUGAAUUGGAGCUGUAGCCACUGGCCUACACCACAGCUUCAGGAAUGCCAAAUCCAAGCCACAUCUGCAACCUACACCACAGCUCACGGCAAUGCCAGAUUCUUAACCCACUGAAUGAGGCAAGGGUUUGCACCUGCAACAUCAUGGAUACUAGUCAGAUUCAUUUCCACUGAGCCACAAUGGGAACUCCUAAAAUAGACUUUUUUAACUUCCCAUAUUUUCUUUUGGUAAGAAAAUAAUAAUUGGCUUCAUAAAAUGAGUUAUGCAUCUUUACUUAUUUUUCUGUUUUCUAGAAUGAUUACUUUUUAAAGUGACAGUAGUAUUCUCUAUUCAUUGGAUUACUGAUAUCACUCCAGCAAAACUAUCUAGGUUUACUGUUUAUUUUUAGUUAUCAUUUAGUUUUCCAUUUCUUUAACUGUUAUUUGUUUAAUCAGCAGUUCUGAUUAAAAAUGGCAUUUUUUCUAGUUGUGCAACCAUUGAUUUCAUUAGUUUUUUCAAAUUUUUUAGCAUAACAUUACCCGAUGUAGUCAUUUCCAGUUUUUUCUACAUCAAAGUAAUAAUUAUUUACUCUUUUUUGAUAUAUAAUUGAAUUUCUUUUUUGUUUCUUCAUUAUUUUCCCUGAAGUUUAUCUUAGCAUUUUUCCAGUUUUAUUGAGUUAUAAUUGACAUGUAAUAUUGUAUUAAUUUAAAGUGUACAACAAAAUGAUUUGAUAAAUGUAUAUAUUGCAAAAUGACUACCACAAUAAGUUUAGUUAAUAUCCAUCACCUCCCAUAGUUAUAUUUGAUGUUACUCAUUAUUGAAAAUUUCUGAUCUCAGUUUGAAUGAUUUAUAACCUUACUUUAACUUUUUAAUUUCUUUAGCUUUGGACCAUUGUUGAGUAGCUUUCAAGUUGAAUGACUUGUUAAUUUCCCUAAAAUUGUGUAAACCUGUAAAUUUCCUUCUAAUUACCAUAGAAGGAAAUUUUUAACCAUUAUUUUAACCAUAUUCCACAAACUCAUACCAUCAAUGUCAUUUAGUUCUGAAGAGAUGAGAUUUCCUUCAUAUUCCUUCCUGAUUUUUUCUAUAGUUCAAGGGUUAUCUAACAGUUCCUGGAUAUAUUUAGUAUAUACAUUUUCCCCUCUUAUUAUUGAUUAGACUGUAGUGAAUCUAACUUUGAUGGCCAUCCUCAGUCUUUGAUUCCAAUAAUUCUGUUUGAGGAAGUGCUCCAGAAUCCUUGGAGAAUUUUGGACUCAGAAAAUCAAGCUUUAUUAUAUCCACAGUGGCAUAUGCUUUAAGAAAAAAUUCCAUAACAAAAAAAAUAUGAUUUUUAAAACAUUCACACAAAUUUAGGUAAUUAAAGGAAGGCUAAUCUCUCCCCUUUUCUGAAAGAAAAGUAAUGUUUACACACUAGUUUUGAUCAAGAUUUCAAAAUACUUUAAUGAAUCUAAAACAGACAAUAUUAUUUUGGUGAGAGGAAUGAUGUUUCAGAGAAUCAAUAAAAACAACCACUAUGGUAAACAGUAUGAAGGUACCAUAGAAAACUAUACAUAGAACUACCAUGUGACCCAGCAAUCCCACUCUUGGGCAUAUAUCUAGACAAAACUUUCCUUAAAAAAGACACAUACACCCACAUGUUCAUUGCGGCACACUUCACAAUAGCCAAGACAUGGAAACAACCCAAAUGUCCAUUGUCAGAUGAUGGAGUAAGAAGAUGUGGUAUAUAUACAAAAUGGAAUAGCACUCAGCCAAAAAAGAGCAAAAUAAUGCUAUUUGCAGCAACGUGGAUGGAACUAGAGACUCUCAUACUAAGUGAAAUAAGUCAGAAAGAGAAAGACAAAAAUCAUAUGAUAUCACUCAUAUCUGAAGUCUAAUAUAUGGCACAAAUGAACCUUUCCACAGAAAAUAAAAUCAUGGACUUGGAGAAUAGACUUGUGGCUGCCAAGGGGUAGGGGGAGGGAGUGGGAUGGAUUUGGAAUUUGGGGUUAAUAGAUGCAAAUUAUUGCCUUAGGAAUGGAUAAGCAUGAGAUCCUGCUGUAUAGCACUGUGAACUAUGUCUACUGACUUAUGAUGGAGCAUGAUAAUGUGAGAAAAAGAAUGUUUACAUGUAUGUGUAACUGGGUCACAUUGCUGUAUAGAAGAAAACUGACAGAACACUGUAAACCAGCUAUGAUGGAAAAAAUAAAAGUCAUUAUAAAUGAAAAAAAGGAAUUUGAUCAAGACAGUAAUACAAAUAUAUAUUUUAUCUUUGUAUUCAUAUUCAUAAGGAGGCAUGAAUUCCAAAAACGUAAAAACCUUGAAGACAUUUAUAUUAAAAAAAAUUUUAACGUCUUGACUCAGAAGUUCCCAUAAGGUUCAACAGGGUUAAGGAUAUGGCCUUGCCACAGCUGUGGCACAGGUCAUAUCUGUGGCUCAGAUUCUGUCCCUGGCCUAGGAACUUCCACAUGCCACAGGUGCAGCCAAAAAAUAAAAAUAAAUAAAUAAAUAAAAGCCUUGAUUCAACUUUUCUGCCAUAAUCUGUUAAAAUUCAUAAGAUCAAUAUUGUUCUCCAUGAAUAUAUAAUUCUUUAGAGAAUGCAUUUCUUUUUACUUUUAUUAUACUAAUAUAAUUUUAAUGCUAGGAAAAACUUUUUCAAUGCCCCAAUACUGUGUGAGGAAGCUGUUUUAAGGCCAGUAGAGCAAUUGAUUAUCAUAUCCUAGUGGAUACUGGGUACACUAUUAGAUUCUUAAAAGUGAACAAAGAAAAUUG
RNAcentral lists this long non-coding RNA (3021 nucleotides) under Sus scrofa (pig). RNAcentral's name for it is "lncRNA (ENSSSCG00000047871.1)". The record is from RNAcentral. Lineage: Eukaryota; Metazoa; Chordata; Mammalia; Artiodactyla; Suidae.